This is a non-coding RNA of Danio rerio (zebrafish), 1219 nucleotides long. NCBI's taxonomy places the organism in Eukaryota, Metazoa, Chordata, Actinopteri, Cypriniformes, Danionidae. The record is from Ensembl.
CAAGGAACAUUUGUGUCGUGGCUGCCGAAAUCACGUGCAUGUGUGGUAAAAGUCCAAAGAUGGCGGUUAAAACAAGUAAAAGAAACAGAAGUUUGGGGUCUAUCUUUUCAUCUUCGUCGUCAUCCAGCGUCGUAGGCGUGAUAAGGUAAUGCAGUUGCAGGAUAAGCAACACCGUUAUUCAUGCAACAUCGCGGGCCAUAGGAACAAGCAGAGCAGCCUACUCUAUAUGAGUUUCCAUGUGAGUCAUAUCCAAAGUAAACUUCUCCGAACCUCGGCCAAGAAGGUCUCAUGAGUUGGGAAAGAGGUGGAGACAAAGAGAAGGAAAAGACGAGCUCUGACCUUUGAUGGGAAUGGAUCUUAUCAUCUCCGGGCGCCGCCUCUCUUGGGAGCCUUUGGGAUUUCACAGGCAUACCAAUCAUCUGCUGUCCAACGGAGGGAAGCUUCAGGAGACCAUUAUGCUUACAAUAUUGGUGGAGAGUUAUGGCUCUACUUUGUAUUUAGGCUCUCUGGGUUACAUUUAUCUUUUUUAUCGCAGUUGCAUUUAUUCUCCCACGUUGGAGUCAGCCUUUAUAGUUUGAAACUCACUUUUAUCCUGUUAAGUAACCCACAAAUAACCAUUUUGGGGUAAUUCUCAUACAAUAGAAGUCUUUGCAUUACAACACUCAUGCAGAUCACAUGACAAUAUAUGAAUACUAGAGUUUGCAUUUAUUUUUUAUUAUAGUUUGAAAUGAUAUCUACUCCCUAAAAGCUGGUUUUGAGCCGCUGCGUUAUUGCUUUCCAAGAUGAGAGAGGCUACGGGGGUCAAUGUGAAAUGACAUGCAGAACGGCGCACACUCAUUGUGAGCUCUGUCGAGGGCCCCUCGAUAGAUUGUGUGAGGAUUUGCAGAAACUUUUGGCAAGGAUGAUGGCUGUCUGAAAUAUCAGAACCUAGAAGCAAUGCGUUAUGCCAACCUGCCAGCUGGCAUGCCUGCUUUUGUAGUAACUCUACAGAGUAAAAGUUUCACUGUAAUGCCAAGAUGGUUGAAAGGGGAUCAAAUAUAAAUAUUAGCUUUCUAGAACAAUGCAAUUCCAUUUGAUGUCAGAGUGAGCUGAUUUUAAUUAACAGGCUUACAUAGUUUUUGAUCAAUGCAGUACCACAGCAUUGUUCUUUGUUUGAUUUUUCUUAAUUAAUAAUGGAGAAUACUCAUUUAUUGUAAAAUAAAUGAAGUGUGUGAAAGUC